CCCUAAUCAUUAGUUUCAGGUCAAUAUAGGGAUGCAAUCAUUUUGACAAAAAGACUUUGAGCAGGGGUUUGACAUUAUAGCCCUCAAAUCAUGGUAAAACCCUAAUCAUUUAUGUGUUUAGUUUUCGAACUAGGCUAGCAUAGAGAAAUCUAGGAUUAAGGGAAAUUCGAACAUCAAAACUUUAAAAUUGAAAAAUUAAAGAAUAACUAAAUAU
RNAcentral lists this long non-coding RNA (214 nucleotides) under Elaeis guineensis (African oil palm). RNAcentral's name for it is "long non-coding RNA (EGUI_LNC044970)". The record is from RNAcentral. Lineage: Eukaryota; Viridiplantae; Streptophyta; Magnoliopsida; Arecales; Arecaceae.